UUUUUGGUGAAUCAGAGAUAACAGUUUCCAUCUUUUUCAAGGAUGUGUUUGGAGGCAGAACUGGUAAAUGUUUUAUACCUAAUUGCAAAGCUGGUAUAAAUAUUUCAGGACACAAUUGAGUUUUUCUCAUUAAAACUGGUUCUCCUGUCUCCGUAUGCAGAAGUUUCUAGCUGUGGGGAGAAAGUACUAUUUUAAAAUAAUUGCAAAGAUUCUAAUUCCAUGGUAACCAUGACAAAUAGACCUCUGUUAUAAUAGGUUUUGAUGGGCUUAUUUUUAGUUAGAACAAAGACAAUUUUGGUUAUUAAAAAAUACCCUAACCUAACUUGAUCUCUGUUUUUUAACUUGCUCCUACUUAAAGGCUAUGGUGGGCCAGACAAAUCAGAAAUGAUUAGUUUUUCAAGCCAAUAGCAUUAUCUGUGAAUCACUUGUCUCAGGCAGAUUUGAAGGUAUUUGUUGUAGGGUUGCUAGAAAUCCUAAAUCUUUUUUUCUCAUAUUUCCGCAUUUAGGAAAAUCAGUGCAAAAGCAAACGACGUUCUUUGGUACUCUCCAUAGAGUUACAUUUGAACGUGCACUAAUGGAGAGGAGAAAUUUUCAUUUUCCCUUUGGUCACUUUUCAUGUCUUACCCAUAGAUGGCAGCAAGUGAUCACUCUGCUAACCCACCUGGCCCAGCCAGUCCGGGUCAGCCUGUGUUGUAAAACCAAGGUAAAAGGGAGGAAAGUGGAAGACAGCCUACCAUAUCCUUGGAGGAUGCUUCGUUUAGUUGUCUGAGAUAUGGCUCUUCUCUUCAGAGCUGGAGAACUUUGCUCUCUUUAGAUUCUUCUUCUGAGGCUUGAAAGAACCCUAGCAACAUUGAAGGAGCAGUCAAGGCCGGGCAGGGAGGGCAAGUGGCCUGGGGCUUCCUGGAUCGCUCAGUGUCUUCUGUGGUCUCAUUCAACUCAACUCAUUCAACUCAAGUGUUGUAAAAUGGAAGUUCUUCUGGAAAUUCAGUCUUGUCCCUUUGGUCUCUAUAGGUCUGCAGUCUCUGUCUCUCUCUUAUUUCCCAACCUCCCAGCAAAUUGUAUUUUGGGGUGCCCUCCCCCGCUGCAUCCUGAUGUAUACCAGCAACCCCAUGAGGCUGGAGAGUCAACGUGCAGUUUUCCUUGAUUGGUAUAACAUUAAGAACAUGGCCAGUACCCUCAUCUUGCAAGGGCCAAGUUGUAUGAAGAGGAUCUUUUCAAACUCUCAUGGGAACCUAGGAUCUAUAUCUGCUCUCAAGGUAUCUCUGGUGGUAUAAGGUCUCCUGAGGCAUCGACACAAGGUAUUUUAUAAGAAUCCAUAGCUUACAAAUAGGUGCUAAGCACAUGCAAAGAUGUUUAACAUCAUUAGAUAUUAGGAAGAUACAAAUCAAACCCAUAAUGAGAUACUACUUUAUACCCAUAAGAAUGGCUGGAAUCAAAACGUCAGAAAACCACAAAUAUUGGUGAGGAUAUGUAGAAAUUCCCUACAACCUGGUAAUGAAAAAUAUGCAGCUGCUUUGGAAAACAGUUUGGUGGUUCCUUGAAUAAUUAAACAUAGAGUCACCAUAGAUCCUAGCAGUCCUACUCCUAGAUUUAUCCUCAAGGGAAAUGCCAAUGUUUUUUCACACAACAACUUGUAUAUGGAUGUUUAUAGCAGCAUUGUUCAUAAUAGCUCUAAUGUGGAAACAACCCAAAUGUCCAUCAACUGAUGAACAGAUAUACCAUGGAGUGAUAUUCAGCAAUAAUAAGGAGUGAAGUACUGAUACGUGUCACAACAUAGGUACCUCUUGAAAACACUACGCCAAGUGAGAGAAGCUAGUCACGAAUAAACCACUUAUUUUAUGAUUCCA
This is a long non-coding RNA of Vulpes vulpes (red fox), 1847 nucleotides long. NCBI's taxonomy places the organism in Eukaryota, Metazoa, Chordata, Mammalia, Carnivora, Canidae. The record is from Ensembl.